Gossypium hirsutum (cotton) is the source of this 142-nucleotide non-coding RNA. The record is from Rfam. Lineage: Eukaryota; Viridiplantae; Streptophyta; Magnoliopsida; Malvales; Malvaceae.
UGUUAAAAAAUUCAUUCAUUUUACUAUUAAAAAUUGGUGAUGUUGAUAGAAUAAUCAAAUAGUUACAUAUGUGGUGCAAGUGGUACCUCAUUCUAGCGUAUGGGGUCAAUUUUAACAGUAAAAAUGCAUGAAAAUUUUAACA